RNAcentral lists this ribosomal RNA (241 nucleotides) under uncultured Actinomycetales bacterium. RNAcentral describes it as "partial 16S ribosomal RNA". It matches the Rfam family "Bacterial small subunit ribosomal RNA", at positions 89 to 334 of the family's 1533-position model. Lineage: Bacteria; Bacillati; Actinomycetota; Actinomycetes; Actinomycetales. The record is from RNAcentral.
ACUCGAGUGGCGAACGGGUGAGUAACACGUGGGUGAUCUGCCCUGCACUCUGGGGUAAGCCUGGGAAACUGGGUCUAAUACCGGAUAGGACCAUGCUUUAGUGUGUGUGGUGGAAAGUUUUUUGGUGUAGGAUGAGCCUGCGGCCUAUCAGCUUGUUGGUGGGGUAAUGGCCUACCAAGGCGGCGACGGGUAGCCGGCCUGAGAGGGUGGACGGCCACAUUGGGACUGAGAUACGGCCCAG